UCCGCCAUCAUAUUCUUGAGAUCAUUAAUGGUGCCAUCUUGCUCCAGCAGACGUGCCUCGAAGUCGUUCCCUCUAGUAGUCUGAGCAUUCACUUCAGCUCUUAGCGCCUCGACCUCCUCAAGAGAAGCAGCAGGGGCAGUCUGAGACGUGCUAGUGGACUGAGUACUAGAUCCAGUAGACACCAUCUGUGUCAUCAUUCCCAUCCCGAGCACACGGCCUUUCGUGUCCCUCUUCACCACCUCCUUAAAGAUGGCGUGUACCUCUUCUGGUGUCGGAUCCCUACCUUGAGUGGCUUGAAUAUCUUGAAUGCCAUCUCUAAACUCAUUUCUAAACGUCCUGAAAUAGAAUUAUAACUAGAAUUAAUUUUAUAUUGUAGUUGAUGGUUGAAUGUUUGUCAUUAAUUUUUUUAGUUCUUAAGUUUUAGUCACAAUAGUUAUUAAAAACCAGGGCAGUAGCCAUUGCUACCACCUCCGCCUCUCCCCCACCGGCGGCCCAAACUCCAAAAUAGAAAAUCGCCUCUUCCCCACCGGCGACACAAGCAUACUAAUAUUAAAAUUAAAUCAUGCUCAACGCACAUAAUCAUGCUUAUUCAAAUUCAAUCAAACAUGUUAUUCGCCUCUCCCCCACCGGCGACAUAAUUAACAAAAAUAAAAUCAAUUGCAAUAACUUAAUGUGACUAGGUACGACUAAUCUAAUCAAUCUAAGUAACCUAAUAUUUAAAAGGCCAUAGCUUGUGUGAAUCACUUAAUGUCAUGACUAGAUACAACUAAUCUAAUCAAUCUAAGUAACCUAGUAUUUAAAAGGCCAUAACUUAGCUAGAUUAAGUCAUGUAACCUAACACAUAAAUUAAGUAAAUUACGCAUGUAUUCAUACAAUAAUCCUAAAACCUAACACAUAAAUUAAGUAAGUUUAUAAAAGACUAACCUUUUAGAAAAUCUUGACAAAAGCUCACGAGAUGUCUGUAUUGAAGCUCACCCAACAAUCUUGCAAAAGCUACAAUUUUAUACAAAUACAUUCAAGUUAGCUCAAGUUCACUAUCAAAAGCAAAGAAGACUAAUAAUGGGUACGAAUCAAACAAGUGAAUGAGUACAAUAUGUUAUAAUAUUUGUUGCAAUGACUUCAUUCCCUACCUUAAAUAUUCUGAAUUUCUCAAUCUAUAUCUUCACUAAAAAGUCAAACGUAGUGAGCUGCUCCAAAUCUCUGAAGUGAGCACUCAGCUGUUUCGAGACCUGCCCAAACAUAAUUCAACAUUCAUGCAUGAGUCCACUAAUUUGAAAACAAAUAAUCUACAGCUAAGAGAUGAAAGUUACUAGUCGUCAAAAAUACUAUUAUAUCUAUCAUAAUAUUAGUAACUUGAAAUCACUCUUAAUCAGCUCAAUAAUACUUCUUACUAUGAAUAUAUCAAAGAGUUAAGAGUAUUUGAUAAUGCAUUAAUACUAUAAUUUAUCAAAGAAAAUUUUAUUUCAGCACAUGAAGGGCAACCAAAUAUGGAAUAUGCUUCUUUUAUUUGCUUAUUAAAGUAUCAGGAAUCAAAUAAAAGAACUGUAGGCGUAGCAUCUGAUUAACAAAAUGCAAUUCUAAUUAAAGAUGGCACCAUUUUCAAAUCUACCAAGCACAAGAAGUGAUCCUAGACUCUCCCAAAACUCCUCUAACUCAGAGGGUCAUAAUACAUUAUUCUCUUCCCCCCCCCCCCUCUCUUUUUUCAAUUUUCAAGAAUUAGAAAAACAGAGAC
This 1732-nucleotide long non-coding RNA is filed under the name Salvia miltiorrhiza (redroot sage). RNAcentral describes it as "long non-coding RNA (SMIL_LNC007159)". The record is from RNAcentral. Lineage: Eukaryota; Viridiplantae; Streptophyta; Magnoliopsida; Lamiales; Lamiaceae.